ACAGCGUCGCAAAGGAAUCUCCUGUUUUAAUUGCAUGCUCUGUCAUUCUGACUGGCAGAACGUCUGAGUCGCUCUGUCCUGUGCUUGUUUGCAGGUGCGACUGGAAGUGAAGGUCAUCCAGCUUCCCCUGCGAGUUCCAGGAGUGAAACUCCGGCAGACCACACGGGUCCGGAAAGACGAAAGUUUACACCUAGAGGAGGGUAUUACGCCUGGUGGUCAUCCCGUGUCCCAAGGAAACCCACGA
This is a non-coding RNA of Meleagris gallopavo (turkey), 244 nucleotides long. The record is from RefSeq and is a predicted model, not a curated record. NCBI's taxonomy places the organism in Eukaryota, Metazoa, Chordata, Aves, Galliformes, Phasianidae.